RNAcentral lists this ribosomal RNA (501 nucleotides) under uncultured bacterium. Its description in RNAcentral is "partial 16S ribosomal RNA". It matches the Rfam family "Bacterial small subunit ribosomal RNA", at positions 30 to 523 of the family's 1533-position model. The record is from RNAcentral.
AUUGAACGCUGGCGGCAGGCUUAACACAUGCAAGUCGAGCGGGGGAAGGUAGCUUGCUACCGGACCUAGCGGCGGACGGGUGAGUAAUGCUUAGGAAUCUGCCUAUUAGUGGGGGACAACAUCUCGAAAGGGAUGCUAAUACCGCAUACGUCCUACGGGAGAAAGCAGGGGAUCUUCGGACCUUGCGCUAAUAGAUGAGCCUAAGUCGGAUUAGCUAGUUGGUGGGGUAAAGGCCUACCAAGGCGACGACCUGUAGCGGGUCUGAGAGGAUGAUCCGCCACACUGGGACCGAAUCACGGCCCAGACUCCUACGGGAGGCAGCAGUGGGGAAUAUUGGACAAUGGGGUGAACCCUGAUCCAGCCAUGCCGCGUGUGUGAAGAAGGCCUUAUGGUUGUAAAGCACUUUAAGCGAGGAGGAGGCUACUCUAGUGAAUACCUAGGGAUAGUGGACGUUACUCGCAGAAUAAGCACCGGCUAACUCUGUGCCAGCCGCCGCGGUAA